Mus musculus (house mouse) is the source of this 1606-nucleotide RNA transcript. It is a transcript of the gene named RIKEN cDNA 4921511C20 gene, with no coding region annotated. The transcript has a single exon. NCBI's taxonomy places the organism in Eukaryota, Metazoa, Chordata, Mammalia, Rodentia, Muridae. The record is from RefSeq and is marked provisional.
AAGAAUGGUGGCAAUCUUCCUGAAACAUGUAUAAAACUGGGGGCACGUGCUGUUUUCCCUACUCUUAAAAAUAAGAAUCAGGAUUUGAUAACAAUCAUAGGGAAAGAGGAAGCUGUUAAAGAAGUGCAAAAAGUACUAGACCUUUUGAUGAAAGACUUAGAUCAUGUGGUGGAGGACAGCAUACUGAUAAAUCGCAAGUUUCACCAUUAUUUUGUCAUGCGAAGGGACCAGCUUAUAAGAGAAAUGACUGAAGUCUAUGCUGGUAUGAUAAUUCACUUCACAUAUGAAGGAAAACAGAGCAUUAGAGUUACAAUGAAAGGAGAAAAGGCUUGUGUUGAAGCAGCGAAGAAACACAUCCAACAUAUUUUUGAGCCCUUGGGUUCCCAUGUCACAACACAGUAUGUUAUUCCUCAAAAGUUUUAUACAUUUUUCAUGGGACCACUGUGUUCCAAAGUUCAGCAAAUUGCUAGAGAUUUCAAAGUUCAACUCGCAUUUCCAGACAAAGAAAAGCCAACUACGUAUAUACAUCCAGUGAUUCAGGAAGCUGAGAAAGAAAAGUGGGGAAAGAGCACUAAAGAAAUUGUUUUUAGUAACCAAAGGAAAAAUAAAACCAUACUCAUCUCAGGUCAAAUAGAAAAUUGCAAAGCAGCCAUGGAAGCUCUUGAAUAUCUAAUUCCUUUCACUGCUGAAGUCCAGGUGCCUUCUCACCUACAUCCUUACAUCAUUGGUCCCAAAGGAAGUGGGAUAAAGAAGAUAAUGAGUGAAUUUGAUGUUCAUACUCAGGUGUCACAAACUGGGAGCAAUUCUGAUAUCAUAUCCAUAAUGGGACUUGCUGCAAAGGUGAAGCAAGCCAAGGUUAAAUUAGAGAAGCAAAUUAAUGCUUUACAAACAGAAAUAGAAGAUCGAGCACUAAGAAACUUUAAGCUAAUGUUUACUCUAGAUGCAAAAUACCAUUCCACAAUCACUGGUCAUAAGGGCUUGUUUAUUGCUCAGAUUUGCAGAGAACAUGAUGUUACUAUCCAUUUUCCAAAGAAAGCAAACCGUGAGAUACAAGAUCAAAUCACAAUUACAGGCUAUAAAAAGAAUACCUUAGCUGCUAAAGAUGCAAUAAUGAGAAUGUUACAUAAGAUUGAAAAAACAGUUUCUAAGGAAAUCCCAAUAAACCCCCAGGUUCGUGACAGUAUUUUUGGAUUUGGUGGAAAAUUCAUCCAUAAAAUGAAUGAACAAUUCCAUGUAGACAUCCGGUUACCUCCAAAAGGAUCCUGGAAUACUAACGUUAGUGUGGUUGGACUGCCUGACAAUGUUCAGGAAGCAAUUGACCAUAUCUUUGAUCUUGAGAAGUAUUACCUUUCAGCCCUCAUAAACUAUGACUCUCAACUGGAAAGUCUUAAGAACACCUGUCUUUACAAGAUAACCAUGGAAUCACCUAACAAUUCUGUGAAAAAUGAUGGCCCUCAUAGUGCAAAAUCCUACCCAAACUCCUCAAAUGAUGAUUCUGAAGAUUUCCCCAAAUUGAAACAACAAACACCUUCUAAGACUCAUCCUUGGAGACCAUAAUGGAAAUCAUGAUUUAAAAAUUAAUAAAAAUUGUUCCAACCUGGUAUCU